CAGUCGCCGCGGGAAUACGAAGGGGGCUAGCGUUGUUCGGAAUUACUGGGCGUAAAGCGCACGUAGGCGGAUAUUUAAGUCAGGGGUGAAAUCCCAGAGCUCAACUCUGGAACUGCCUUUGAUACUGGGUAUCUUGAUUAUGGAAGAGGUGAGUGGAAUUCCGAGUGUAGAGGUGAAAUUCGUAGAUAUUCGGAGGAACACCAGUGGCGAAGGCGGCUCACUGGUCCAUUACUGACGCUGAGGUGCGAAAGCGUGGGGAGCAAACAGGAUUAGAUACCCCGGUAGUCCCUGUCUCUUAUAC
This 301-nucleotide ribosomal RNA is filed under the name uncultured bacterium. Its description in RNAcentral is "partial 16S ribosomal RNA". It matches the Rfam family "Bacterial small subunit ribosomal RNA", at positions 509 to 807 of the family's 1533-position model. The record is from RNAcentral.